AUCAUAGCAAUAAGAUUUGUAAAACAUUGCAAUGGCUGAAAAACUGUCUAACAGGAAAUUUUAAGUGUUAUUCCAAAGAAGAACAAGCCUAAAAUUAAUCCUCACAGUGGUUCUCAGAAGUAAAUAUUUUUCUGCCAUUUUACCCAUGUGGAAACUGAGGCUCAAUGAGGCUGAGUGUCUGCCCACAAUCAUAUAAUGAUGAUGUGCCUGCAGAUAUGGUUGCAGAAGAAUCAGGUCCUGGUGCACAAAAUAGUCCAUACCAACUUCGUAGAAAAACUCUUUUGCCGAAAAGAACAGCGUGUCCCACAAAGAACAGUAUGGAGGGCGCCUCAACUUCAACUACAGAAAACUUUGGUCAUCGUGCAAAACGUGCAAGAGUGUCUGGAAAAUCACAAGAUCUAUCAGCAGCACCUGCUGAACAGUAUCUUCAGGAGAAACUGCCAGAUGAAGUGGUUCUAAAAAUCUUCUCUUACUUGCUGGAACAGGAUCUUUGUAGAGCAGCUUGUGUAUGUAAACGCUUCAGUGAACUUGCUAAUGAUCCAAUUUUGUGGAAACGAUUAUAUAUGGAAGUAUUUGAAUAUACUCGCCCUAUGAUGCAUC
RNAcentral lists this long non-coding RNA (600 nucleotides) under Homo sapiens (human). RNAcentral describes it as "non-protein coding lnc-KCNK12-6:1". Lineage: Eukaryota; Metazoa; Chordata; Mammalia; Primates; Hominidae. The record is from RNAcentral.